This 768-nucleotide ribosomal RNA is filed under the name Alectorobius amblus. Its description in RNAcentral is "12S ribosomal RNA". The record is from RNAcentral. Lineage: Eukaryota; Metazoa; Arthropoda; Arachnida; Ixodida; Argasidae.
AGCAACGGGAAUGAAAUAAUUUAGUAUACCCUUUACCUCCAAUUGCAAUGAAAAAAAUUGGAGGUAAAGGAGUAUUUUCUAUGUAAACUUAAAAUUUGUUUUGAAAAUUCUUUAUGUUAAGAAAUUAAUAAUGUUUAUUUUAACAGAAGACAGAUUUAUUUUUUUUUAAAAAAAUUGUAGAUUUUCAUUUAGUUCUGGCGAAGCCUGUGCCAGCCGCCGCGGUUAUGCAGGCAGGGCAUGAUUUUUUUUUAAUAAAAAUAUUAUUGAUUUAAUAGUUUAGUUUUAAUUAGGUGAAAUUAGUAAUUGUUAUUGAUUUAUUAAAAUUUAUGAAAUUUAUGGAAAAAAAUAGGAUUAGAUACCCUAUUAUUAUAAAAUGAUGGGUUGUGAGUAUCUUGUUUUUUGAUAAAACUAAUUGAAAUGGCGGUAUUUUAAGCUUUUUAGAGGAAUUUAUUCUUUAAUUGAUGCAACACAAAUAUCUUACUUAAUUUGGUUAGGUCAGCUUGUAUAUCGCUAUCAUGUUAUUAUGUUGUUUGAUUAUUAUAAAGGUAGUUGUUAACUGAAAUGUUAGGUCAAAAUGCAGCAAAAGAUUAAGGUUGAAAUAAAUUACAUGAAUUUUUAUUGACUUUCUUUGAAAAGAAUUUUUGGAUUUAAUAGUAAACUUAUAUUAUAAUGAUAAGUUGAAUUGAGCUCUAAAAUAUGUACAUAUCGCCCGUCGCUCUCAAUAGUGAGAUAAGUCGUAACAAAGUAAAUGUACCGGAAGGUGCUUUU